Molecule: ribosomal RNA, 494 nt
Filed under: uncultured bacterium
Lineage: Bacteria
Description: partial 16S ribosomal RNA
Rfam family: Bacterial small subunit ribosomal RNA
Source: RNAcentral
GACGAACGCUGGCGGCGCGCUUAACACAUGCAAGUCGAACGGAAAGGCCUGCUUUCCCUUGUGGAUUGCGGGUACUCGAGUGGCGAACGGGUGAGUAACACGUGAGUGAUCUGCCCCCAACUUGGGUAUAAGCCUGGGAAACUGGGUCUAAUUCCCGAUAGGACUGCAGGGUGGUGCCUGUGGUGGAAAACGAUUUUCUAGUGGUUGGGGAUGAGCUCGCGGCCUAUCAGCUUGUUGGUGGGGUAAUGGCCUACCAAGGCGGCGACGGGUAGCCGGCCUGAGAGGGUGGACGGCCACAUUGGGACUGAGAUACGGCCCAGACUCCUACGGGAGGCAGCAGUGGGGAAUAUUGCACAAUGGGCGGAAGCCUGAUGCAGCGACGCCGCGUGGGGGAUGACGGCCUUCGGGUUGUAAACUCCUUUCAACCGCGAGGAAGCCACCUGGUUGGAAGGGUGGUGACGGUAGUGGUAGAAGAAGCACCGGCUAACUACGUG